This 460-nucleotide ribosomal RNA is filed under the name uncultured bacterium. Its description in RNAcentral is "partial 16S ribosomal RNA". It matches the Rfam family "Bacterial small subunit ribosomal RNA", at positions 338 to 795 of the family's 1533-position model. The record is from RNAcentral.
CCUACGGGAGGCAGCAGUGAGGAAUAUUGGUCAAUGGACGGAAGUCUGAACCAGCCAUGCCGCGUGCAGGAUGACGGCUCUAUGAGUUGUAAACUUCUUUUGUAUUUGUGUAAAAAACCCUACGUGUGGGCUCUUGGAAGUAUAAUACGAAUAAGGAUCGGCUACCUCCGUGCCAGCCGCCGCGGUAAUACGGAGGAUCGAAGCGUUAUCCGGAUUUAUUGGGUUUAAAGGGUGCGUAGGCGGUUCGAUAAGUUAGAGGUGAAAUACCGGUGCUCAAAACCCGAACUGCCUCUAAAACUGUUGAUCUAGAGUGUAGUUGAGGUAGGCGGAAUGUAUGGUGUAGCGGUGAAAUGCAUAGAGAUCAUACAGAACACCGAUUGCGAAGGCAGCUUACCAAACUAUAUCUGACGUUGAGGCACGAAAGCGUGGGUAGCAAACAGGAUGAGAUACCCCAGUAGUC